AUUUUCCGGUUGAUCCUGCCGGACCUGACUGCUAUCGGAUUGGUACUAAGCCAUGCGAGUCAUUGUAGCAAUACAAGGCGGACGGCUCAGUAACACGUAGUCAACCUAACUCGUGGACGUGGAUAACCUCGGGAAACUGAGAAUAAACCGCGAUAGAUCAUUAUGCCUGGAAUGGCUUAUGGUCCAAAUAGUUUGCUGCCAUGGGAUGGGACUGCGGCCUAUCAGCUUGUUGGUGAGGUAAUGGCCCACCAAGGCUAUAACAGGCACGGGCUCUGAGAGGAGAAGCCCGGAGAUGGGUACUGAGACACGGACCCAGGCCCUAUGGGGCGCAGCAGGCGAGAAACCUUAGCAAUGUGCGAAAGCACGACUGGGUCAGUCCGAGUGAUUCCUGAUAAAGGAGUCUUUUGCUUGUCCUAAAAGCACAGGUGAAUAAGGGGUGGGCAAGUCUGGUGUCAGCCGCCGCGGUAAUACCAGCACCUCGAGUGGUCAGGACGUUUAUUGGGCCUAAAGCAUCCGUAGCCGGCUCUGCAAGUCUUCGGUUAAAUCCACCUGCUCAACAGAUGGGCCGCUGGAGAUACUACAGAGCUAGGGAGUGGGAGAGGCAGACGGUAUUCAGUGGGUAGGGGUAAAAUCCUCUGAUCCA
RNAcentral lists this ribosomal RNA (643 nucleotides) under uncultured archaeon. RNAcentral's name for it is "bacterial SSU rRNA". It matches the Rfam family "Archaeal small subunit ribosomal RNA", at positions 1 to 649 of the family's 1478-position model. The record is from RNAcentral.